Triticum aestivum (bread wheat) is the source of this 135-nucleotide non-coding RNA. The record is from Rfam. NCBI's taxonomy places the organism in Eukaryota, Viridiplantae, Streptophyta, Magnoliopsida, Poales, Poaceae.
GUAGUACUCCCUCCGUCCCCAAAUUCUUGUCUUACAUUUGUUUAGAUACGGAUGUAUCUAACACUAAAAUGUAACUAGAUACAUCCGUAUUUAGAAAAAUUUAAGGCAAGAAUUUUGGGACGGUGGGAGUACAAA